Molecule: ribosomal RNA, 424 nt
Filed under: Fusobacteriota bacterium
Lineage: Bacteria; Fusobacteriati; Fusobacteriota
Description: Fusobacteria bacterium partial 16S ribosomal RNA
Rfam family: Bacterial small subunit ribosomal RNA
Source: RNAcentral
UGAGGAAUAUUGGUCAAUGGGCGAGAGCCUGAACCAGCCAAGUAGCGUGCAGGAUGACGGCCCUAUGGGUUGUAAACUGCUUUUAUGUGGGGAUAAAGUGCGUGACGUGUCAUGCAUUGCAGGUACCACAUGAAUAAGGACCGGCUAAUUCCGUGCCAGCAGCCGCGGUAAUAAGGAAGGUCCGGGCGUUAUCCGGAUUUAUUGGGUUUAAAGGGAGCGUAGGCUGUCUAUUAAGCGUGUUGUGAAAUUUACCGGCUCAACCGGUGGCCUGCAGCGCGAACUGGUCGACUUGAGUAUGCAGGAAGUAGGCGGAAUUCAUGGUGUAGCGGUGAAAUGCUUAGAUAUCAUGACGAACUCCGAUUGCGCAGGCAGCUUACUGUAGCAUAACUGACGCUGAUGCUCGAAAGUGCGGGUAUCAAACAGG